AGUGAACGCUGGCGGUAGGCCUAACACAUGCAAGUCGAACGGCAGCACAGUAAGAGCUUGCUCUUACGGGUGGCGAGUGGCGGACGAGUGAGGAAUACAUCGGAAUCUACUUUUUCGUGGGGGAUAACGUAGGGAAACUUACGCUAAUACCGCAUACGACCUACGGGUGAAAGCAGGGGAUCUUCGGACCUUGCGCGAUUGAAUGAGCCGAUGUCGGAUUAGCUAGUUGGCGGGGUAAAGGCCCACCAAGGCGACGAUCCGUAGCUGGUCUGAGAGGAUGAACGCCCACCAGGGAACGGGAAAAGGGCCAGACCCCCAAGGGGGGGAGAAGGGGGGAAAUUUUGAAAAAGGGGGGAACGCCGAUUCAGCCAAGCCGGGGGGGGGAAAAAGGGCUUUGGGUUUUAAAACCCUUUUUUUUGGGAAGAAAAAAGCGGGGCUAAAACCCCCGGGGUUUUAAGGGACCCGAAGAAAAAGGACCGGCUAAAUUUGGG
RNAcentral lists this ribosomal RNA (491 nucleotides) under uncultured bacterium. RNAcentral describes it as "partial 16S ribosomal RNA". It matches the Rfam family "Bacterial small subunit ribosomal RNA", at positions 30 to 507 of the family's 1533-position model. The record is from RNAcentral.